This 896-nucleotide ribosomal RNA is filed under the name uncultured Paenibacillaceae bacterium. RNAcentral's name for it is "bacterial SSU rRNA". It matches the Rfam family "Bacterial small subunit ribosomal RNA", at positions 20 to 907 of the family's 1533-position model. Lineage: Bacteria; Bacillati; Bacillota; Bacilli; Caryophanales; Paenibacillaceae. The record is from RNAcentral.
UGGCUCAGGACGAACGCUGGCGGCGUGCCUAAUACAUGCAAGUCGAGCGGAUUUAUCCUUCGGGAUAAGUUAGCGGCGGACGGGUGAGUAACACGUAGGCAACCUGCCUAUAAGACUGGGAUAACUAUCGGAAACGAUAGCUAAGACCGGAUAACUGAUUUUCUCGCAUGAGAAAAUUAUGAAACACGGAGCAAUCUGUGGCUUAUAGAUGGGCCUGCGGCGCAUUAGCUAGUUGGUAAGGUAACGGCCUACCAAGGCGACGAUGCGUAGCCGACCUGAGAGGGUGAACGGCCACACUGGGACUGAGACACGGCCCAGACUCCUACGGGAGGCAGCAGUAGGGAAUCUUCCGCAAUGGACGCAAGUCUGACGGAGCAACGCCGCGUGAGUGAUGAAGGUUUUCGGAUCGUAAAGCUCUGUUGCCCUAGACGAACAGCAAGAGGAGUAACUGCCUUUUGUGUGACGGUAUAGGAGAAGAAAGCCCCGGCUAACUACGUGCCAGCAGCCGCGGUAAUACGUAGGGGGCAAGCGUUGUCCGGAAUUAUUGGGCGUAAAGCGCGCGCAGGUGGUCAAUUAAGUUGGGUGUUUAAGCCCGGGGCUCAACCCCGGUUCGCAUCCAAAACUGGUUGACUUGAGUGUAGGAGAGGAAAGUGGAAUUCCACGUGUAGCGGUGAAAUGCGUAGAGAUGUGGAGGAACACCAGUCGCGAAGGCGACUUUCUGGCCUAUAACUGACGCUGAGGCGCGAAAGCGUGGGGAGCAAACAGGAUUAGAUACCCUGGUAGUCCACGCCGUAAACGAUGCAUACUAAGCGUUGGGGAUUCCAUUCCCUCGGUGCCGAGUUAACACAGUAAGUUUGCCGCCUGGGGAGUACGCUCGCAAGAGUGAAACUCCAAGG